Molecule: long non-coding RNA, 1530 nt
Filed under: Scophthalmus maximus (turbot)
Lineage: Eukaryota; Metazoa; Chordata; Actinopteri; Pleuronectiformes; Scophthalmidae
Description: lncRNA (ENSSMAG00000037014.1)
Source: RNAcentral
ACCUCCUUUUUUUAAUCAGUGGAGAUUGGCCAGUCGGGCUGUUGUUUUCUUCUUCUUUCACCCGAAAGGAACGCGCGCCGCGGUUCGCCCGGCGGGUUUGUGGCGUCGCCUUGUCUUCGGCCGUACAGUAAUGUGAAGUAGAUAUACAGUAGAUGCUGUCACGUGGUCCAAACGCCCGACGCCACCCACAUGCAGCUGUUCGUCUCCGCUACCUUCUUCCAUCCCUCAUGUUCCUCUCUUCUUCUUCUUCUUUACUUGUCCACUUCUGUCCUCUUUUCUUUUUUUUUUAAACCCCCCCAUCUCUGUUCUCCUUUCUUGUCACAGGACCUAAGGUACUGAACUCUUCAGAAAAACCCAAAGACUCACAGUAUUUCUUCUCCCGCCACCAUCCUCUCCACCAUGGCCACAUCAUUGUUGUUUGAUCAUUCUUCUCUUCCUCUUCACCCUUUCAUUCUCUCUCUCUCUCUCUCUCUCUCUCUCUUCAUUAGAGAUCUGACCUUUGAGUCCAAUUGCUUAUUAGAAUAUGAAAAGAUAUAUAAAUAUAUAUAAAUGUAUAUUCACAAAUGUUUUAAACCUUCAAAGUGCCUACCAUUUAGGAAAUGUACGUGCUCGAGGUGAGCAUGUGGCGGGUGUGUACACAACUGAGGGGUGUAAACGACUUGACUGGCAUUCUGUGAGCAUGGAUGACUGUAAUGGUAACUUUUUUUUUAGUCUUACAAAAGCUGACAGAGAGCUGAAGAGGGGCUCUGCGCAUUUCUCCUCUCAUUAGAUCGUAUUAGUUCUUUUCCUAACACACACACACAAAAAUAAUACUACUUUAGAUGAUUGGCAGCAGUUGUUGUAUGCAAUGACACGUUGCAUAAAUAAGAGGAACGGGGGGUUGAACGCGCUACCGUUUUUCUCCAGCGCUAUAGUUAUUCAGAUAUGUCACAGGGUUCACACACUCUUUAAUGGCACUUUUUCUCUGUUUUCAGGUGCGGAGCGCUUCUCUAUUUAUGAUAAUGGAUUUCUGAGUUCCCCGGCUCACUUAUUUAGCCGGAGCCAGUGGUAACGGCGGACUGUAAAUCCCAUUUGUAGUGCGGCAAAGAGUGGGUGUUUUCGAGUGCGAAUCAUCUUUUAUUCCCCCCACUUCGGUGAAAAUAUGAAUACAUUUUUCUUUCAUUUCACCGGAACAUCAGAUAAUCUUCUAAUGCUCCUUCCCCUGCACCCCGUCUUCCAUUCAUCCUCUCUCUUAGUGGUGCAAUCAAGGGCAGAGUAACCGCGUCUGAUUCUCAUCGCGUGAAUCUAUAUAAGGAUGCCAAGCUGUUCAAAGAUGGAUCUGUGAUCUGUCCUCUUUGGAGAGACAGAGUCUUUUCGCUCUUUUAUUGGGCUGAGGAAAUUGUGCGGCAAAGUUCACAAUAUGAAAAACAAAUAAAUCGGAGGAUCUCAGAUUGGAAAUCACAGCGUCGGUUUGAAUUUUUUUUUGCGGAUAUACUGUAUGUACGAUAUAUACUCAUGUAUGCGAAAUGUCACCAUUGACGGAUAAGGUAG